AGAAGAUCCAAAGAAUUUAAAGUCAGAAGGUCUACUAAACGCAUUUACCCAAAGAAUAACAAGUACAAACAGUAUUGAGUAGCAUUCCCAUACUAGGGCUACACUGUAUAAAGGGAAGCAGAGCUUGCCAUUGUAACUGUCACCAGAAACCUGAAUACUGGGAGAAGGAAACAAACUAGCAGGGACUAUGCAGCACUGCCUUACCGAGCCAUCCCUGAGUGCUCUGCCUCUCUUGUAACGGAGCUACCAUAUCCCACUGCAGAGCAGCUAAUGCCAUGUACACCCUGAGAUCUACACUCACAGGACUCCCCCUCUUUGGUCACCCAUGCACUGCACAAUCCUCCUGAAGGAUUCAAGUAUAUGGAAGAGGUGGCACAUCACCCACAGAAUCAGUCACCCCAACAGUCUACACUCCUCUGUGUUCACAGAUUUGAAACACAACACUUAUCCAUGGGCAGAAGCCGAAAGCUCCCAUUCGGUCUGUAGAAAGAUAUCCAAACUCAAGCUGAAAACAUCGAGAGCUGGUUAAAUCCAGCCCUGCCCUCCUUUCUUCCUCACAAUGGCUACUCACCUUCACCGUUUAUCAUUUAUACCUUUCAGUUCGAUGCCAUUCAGCUCCACGCUCCAGCCACUGGAUCUUGUUACGUGUAAACUGAAUGAAGCACUGCACCUCAGUAAGAAAGUAUUCACGUGGGGUUAAAAAAGAGGUGCUUCUCACUAUUUCUGCUAAUAUGAACAGAGGUUCUUUAAGCGUUAAUUAAGACAUUAGUAAAAUAUUUCUUAACUCUUUUCCACACUCUUCCUUGUUUAACAAUGACUUUUACAGACAGAACUUCAACAUUAGAAUUACCACGUGCUUAGCCAACAUGUCCUCCUUGCUCCCAUCAGUAAAACACCUUUAGGAAAAAAGAUAAAUCAAGGAAUACAUUACAUAUUUUUUAAUCAAAGCAUUACACUGGGAGCUGCUGCUGAACUGCUUGUUCAUAUUUAUAUCCUACCAGUCAAUAAAUUUGGGGAUACAAUCCCAAGCUUACAUUCCUUAUCUUCAAUGCAUUGCUUUGAAUAUGGAUGCACUAAGGUGCACUUUGUUUUACUAGAAAACUUCAGAUGAAUUCUAGAUGGUUUUGUACAGUUGUGCUGUCCUCCCUGCUUAGCACCUACCCAUCCUGUUCGCCUCCAAGUUACAUUAAUGGCAAUUUUGUUAUUACUUCCAAUUCAUUCAUGAAAAAAGUCUUGAGUCUAGUACACUAACUCCUCUAAGACUUUCAGGAAUAAUUCUCUCUAGCAACUACUUCCAAGAUUAGUUAGCCAGCAUUUUUCCAUCCAUUUAUCAUAUACUGUAAGAUCAUUCUGUAUUACAUGAGCAUUUCAUUACUUUUCGUACUUCCCCACUAAAAAUAUUUAUAUGCUUCACUGUUGCACUAGUCAUCUUGCAACAAUACUAGUAGAAAACAUGGGAUCUACAUUGACAUACUAAACUGAGCUUGUGGUCAGAAUGAGAGAACAAAUAUCCUUUGAAGCAAGAGUCCAUUAUUAUAUAAGUUCGGUUU
Long non-coding RNA from Strigops habroptila (Kakapo), 1550 nucleotides. NCBI's taxonomy places the organism in Eukaryota, Metazoa, Chordata, Aves, Psittaciformes, Psittacidae. The record is from Ensembl.